AACUCGACUACAUGAAGCUGGAAUCGCUAGUAAUCGCGAAUCAGAAUGUCGCGGNGAAUACGUUCCCGGGUCUUGUACACCACCGCCCGUCACACCAUGGGAGUCAGUAACGCCCGAAGUCAGUGACCCCAACCUUAUGGAGGGAGCUGCCGAAGGCGGGACCGAUAACUGGGGUGAAGUCGUAACAAGGUACC
RNAcentral lists this ribosomal RNA (194 nucleotides) under uncultured bacterium. RNAcentral describes it as "partial 16S ribosomal RNA". It matches the Rfam family "Bacterial small subunit ribosomal RNA", at positions 1309 to 1500 of the family's 1533-position model. The record is from RNAcentral.